UCUUUACUUUGUACCCCCCAAGGCAAACUCUUAUUACCUGACAUCCAGAUGCACUCUGCUGCUUUGCAACUUCGAAGCAUGAUUAUCUAAGAUGUUGACAGUACGAAGAACGGAGUGAGAGGGUCUUUUCAACACUGAUGGUCAAAAAUGCUUGGGACCAGAUAGGAAAAUUCUUGGCACGAUCACAGCAGAGCUGCUGCAGGUAAC
This is a long non-coding RNA of Talpa occidentalis (Iberian mole), 207 nucleotides long. RefSeq lists it as uncharacterized. The record is from RefSeq and is a predicted model, not a curated record. Lineage: Eukaryota; Metazoa; Chordata; Mammalia; Eulipotyphla; Talpidae. The transcript is spliced from 3 exons.